Non-coding RNA from Danio rerio (zebrafish), 2971 nucleotides. Lineage: Eukaryota; Metazoa; Chordata; Actinopteri; Cypriniformes; Danionidae. The record is from RefSeq and is a predicted model, not a curated record.
UCCCCGGUCCAUUUAUUUUUUCGCAUGCGAAAGUCUGCAUGCAGUAAACCGCUUAAGUGUGCCAUGCUGUAUAAGGUCUACUUAGUAAGCUCACUUCGCAGGGUGCUUCAAGGAAAAGUGGCGCCUUUCUUCGAAUGUGCCCUAGAAAAAAGAACUAGCACGGAUGAUGGAGCCAACAGAGAGAGUAUAAGGAAAGGUCCUGUCACACAAGCACAGGACGCGUUUUAGGAUAAGCUGCAGAAGAGAAAAAACGAGCUAUUUUUUGACGCUUUUCUAAAACAUUUAUAGUAGAUAAACGUUCAAAAGCUUCGUUGAGACGAUCAAACGAAGAAGCUCCUUGAGGAAGAGAAGUUCAGGAUUAACAAAUCUGAAAUCCCACUCUUGGAAAAGGAACUAUACCAUGGAGAAAGUCCUUUUCAUCUGUAUCUUGUUCACCGGUGCUGUGGCAACACAAAAUGUGCUUCCUACAACACAGGGUCAGACUUCAACACGGCCUCAUCUGACUGGCUGUUUUUCUCGAGAUAUGAUAACUUUCCGUUGUCAGUGGGAAACUGGAUCUUCACAAAACCGCACAGAACUCGAGGAUCUGAGCUUUUUCUACAUGUUAGAAAAGGAUCCAAAGAAAACUUACGGAAAAUGGAUUGAAUGUCCAAGUUACAACUCCCAGAGGAAUGAAUGCUACUUUGAUGCCAGUCAUACCUUUGUAUGGUAUACUUAUGUGAUCCAGCUGCGCUCUGUUGAUAAUGUUUAUGAGGAAAUGUCCUUUAGCAUAGAAAAUAUUGUGUUUCCAGACCCACCUGUAGGUCUAAACUGGACUCUUUUAAAAAUGGCCUCCAGCGGUUUACACUGUGAUGUGGUUUUAAGCUGGGAUCCACCUCCCUCCGCCGGAGUGCCUCUUUCAGAUGGAUGGAUCUCACUGGUUUACGAGACACAGUACAGAGAAAAGGAUUCAGACCAGUGGAACACACUGGAAAGUGACAAAAACACACAGGCAUACAUCUAUGGUCUGGAAAGCAACACUGAAUAUGAACUCAGAGUCCGGGCAAAAAUGAGAAGCUUCCACUUCGGAGACUUCAGUGACUCCAUCUUUAUACUUAUACCUAACAAAGAAUCAAGAAUUUCGAUUACGGCUGUGCUGGUCUUUACUGCUGUUAGUGUCACCAUUAUCUUGAUGCUGAUUGUAGUUUCGCGUCAACAAAAGAUAAUGGUGAUUUUCUUGCCACCCGUUCCUGGACCAAAAAUCGAAGGCAUUGACCCUUUGAAUUUUAAGAAAGGCCAGGCAAGUGACUUUAAAAUCUUAGGGACACACCCGGACUUGCGGCCAGAGCUGUACAGCAACGAUCCAUGGGUCGAGUUCAUAGAAGUGGACAUUGACGAACCACAUGAGAGCCAGCAGGAGCUUCUCAUCGCUGACUCAUCGGCCUCGGACUCUCCACAGAUGCCUAGUAGUUUCAAGGAUGAUGAUUCGGGAUGGGCGAGCUGCUGUGAUCCAGACCUGUCAGAUCACGAUCAAACGGAUCUAAAACAAGCUUCCAGCAGUUGCCACGAUGGUUUCCUCCCGCUGUCACGUGCACACUCUGCGGCUCCCGUGCCACAAGAACCAACCUGGUCAAACAAUCUUUACUCACAGGUUAGUGACAUCACUCAGCGUGGUGAGUUCGUGCUGAGUCCAGAAGAACAAGAAAUGGCAGCUCUGCAGGAUAAAGACAUCAAUAAGAAGAAAGAAAUCCAACGGUUAGCGAUGAUUCCUGAUGAAAGAGGCUACACCUCUGAGACUGUGGCCAGUACUAUCAGCGCCCAUCACAAUAAACCAAACCCACCCAAGACUGAUCAAGAACAGCACAGUGAAUAUAGAGACACAGAGACAUCCCCUUGGUCCAGUGCUUUUCCUAUUCUUGCAAAGCCUCCCAGCCCAGAUUACACGAUGGUUGAUGCGGUUGACUGGACAAAUGGUCUCCUCUUGAAACCUAAUACACCAACAGCCCCACAGAAGGCAGCAGCGAAGACUUUGUUUACUCCUGUCGGAUACCUGACUCCUGACCUUCUGGACAACAUUACACCUUAACUAAAAGUGGAGUAUGUUUGCUCUUUGUCAGAUGUCUGACUGCUUAGCCAACACCGAACAUGAGGUGUGAUCCACGAGGAGGGAAUCUUGAAGCAAAGCCAGUUCUCAAGCCUUCUCCAGUGGAAUGGACGUCAUGAAACAAAUCUAUUGGCAAGCUAAUAAAUGGCUGUAUAUGGCCUGGAGUUUUUCCUUUCUCAUUUGGAGGGUUAACAAGUUCAGAGGUUAUUUUGAGCAGAUAUGGAGUAUAAGUAUUAGCUGGUUGUUUGAUGCCAUAAAAAGAUAACAACUCAUUUAUAUUAGCUGGUUGUUUGAUGCCAUAAAAAGAUAACAACUGAAUUGUUAUGCUUUUACAUUUAGUCAUAAGACAGCUAUAUUUCUCUACCUGUUGAUAUACAUUUGUGUACUUUUAUUGUUCAUUUUCAGUGAACUAACCACCAGUAUGUGUCUGAAAAAAAGUGCCUACUUUUAAUUUAAACAUCAGUGUUAAAAAAUGUUGCUUAAUUCAUUCAAGAGGGACUUCCUUUGUUUAUGUUACCUGGUAAUCUUUUCUUCAUCAGUGUUAUACUUUUCUUCCAUAAAUGACUGGACAUGAUUUUGUGACUCAAUAGGGUAAAUAUGAUGAACUUUUGCUGACAAGCUGUCCUUGCCUGAAAAAACAACAACAACAAUAAACCAGGCUAAACUGGUUUAUCUGUCUCUCUUAUUGGUCUUAGAGUGGAUUGAGACCAGAUUUCUGACAGACUGUAAAACCUUCUAAAGUCCAGCAAACUUGCUAGUUAUUUUUUUGCAGGUUUGUACAUUUAGUGAUGUGCUUGGGCAUGCAUCAAUACUGUUUAUCAGUAUAAAUCAAACAAUGUGUUUUGUAACCAUGUAUCGCUAAAUAAAACAGCAGCAUUUGAACUCUGA